Molecule: ribosomal RNA, 275 nt
Filed under: uncultured bacterium
Lineage: Bacteria
Description: partial 16S ribosomal RNA
Rfam family: Bacterial small subunit ribosomal RNA
Source: RNAcentral
GCGUGAGUGAAGAAGGCCUUAGGGUUGUAAAACUCUUUCACCCGUGAAGAUGAUGACGGUAGCGGGAGAAGAAGCUCCGGCUAACUCCGUGCCAGCAGCCGCGGUAAUACGGAGGGGGCUAGCGUUGCUCGGAAUUACUGGGCGUAAAGCGCACGUAGGCGGUGGACCAAGUUAGGCGUGAAAGGCCUGGGCUUAACCCGGGAACUGCGUUUGAUACUGGUCUGCUAGAGUCCGGGAGAGGGUAGUGGAAUUCCCAGUGUAGAGGUGAAAUUCGU